GAUGAACGCUGGCGGCGUGCCUAAUACAUGCAAGUCGAGCGAACAGACGAGGAGCUUGCUCCUCUGACGUUAGCGGCGGACGGGUGAGUAACACGUGGAUAACCUACCUAUAAGACUGGGAUAACUUCGGGAAACCGGAGCUAAUACCGGAUAAUAUAUUGAACCGCAUGGUUCAAUAGUGAAAGACGGUUUUGCUGUCACUUAUAGAUGGAUCCGCGCCGCAUUAGCUAGUUGGUAAGGUAACGGCUUACCAAGGCAACGAUGCGUAGCCGACCUGAGAGGGUGGUCGCCCACCCUGGAACUGAGACACGGUCCAGACUCCUACGGGAGGCAGCAGUAGGGAAUCUUCCGCAAGGGGCGAAAGCCUGACGGAGCAACGCCGCGUGAAGGAUGAAGGACUUCGGAUCGGAAAACUCUGUUAUUAGGGAAGAAGAAAUGUGUAAGUAACUAUGCACGUCUUGACGGUACCUAAUCAGAAAGCCACGGCUAACUACGUG
RNAcentral lists this ribosomal RNA (497 nucleotides) under uncultured bacterium. RNAcentral describes it as "partial 16S ribosomal RNA". It matches the Rfam family "Bacterial small subunit ribosomal RNA", at positions 28 to 507 of the family's 1533-position model. The record is from RNAcentral.